GUAGAAGCCGCUUUAUUUGCGUAGAAAACACAAGAAAAUUUGUACUUGAAAGAUUUGAUUUUUGAGUUAUGUAUUUAGCUGUGAUUAUAUGUGUAUAUCCGUGUCUGUCUGUCUGUCUGUCUGUAACUGUAUGUCUUUGUGUAUGUGUCUAAGUAUGUGUGUCUGUAUGUGCCUCUGUGUUUGUGUGUGUGUCUCUGUGUGUCUGUGUGUGUCUCAGUGUGUGUACCUGUGUCUACAUGUCUGUGUAUGUCUAUACAUGUGUCUUUGUGAAUGUGUGUGUGUGUUUGUGCGUCUAUAUGUGUCUGUGUGUGUCUCUCUAUGAGUGUAUCUAUGUAUGUGUCUGUGUGUAUCUCCGUGUGUCUGAACCUGUGUCUGUGUAUGUCUGUGUGUAUGUGUUUGUACAUGUGAAUCUGUGUGUGUCUGUGCGUAUAUGUGUGUGUUUGUGUGUCUGUGUAUAUGUGUGCCUGUGUGUGUUUGUAUGUAUUUGUCUCUGUGUGCUUGUUGAUGAAAGUGUGAAGCAUUCAAAGGUGAAUAUGACACGUGGGACUUCCAUACCCAUACAGCUCAUGGUGUGUGUGUGUGCACUCAGAAGUCCUGCAAGUCCAUAAAAUAAUCAUAUGCAAUAAAUAAAUGAUCAAAAAUUACAUGACAAAGUGAGUUAGAGAGUAAUUAGAGGACAAGUGAGGGGUGUGUCACUAAAUGUAUGGCAGAAGGCCCCCUUUCACACUCUGGGGCAUCAUGGAAAACUGUUAUCUAUAGGUAAUACAUAAUUCCCAUGAAAAGUUUACAUGAUCCACAUCUGUGCAUAUAGCCAAAGCAAUGUGUAUGAGAACUUUAUGCAAACAGCAAUGGCAGUGCCCAACAGCCUCAGUGGGGAACCACAUACUAGGUUCUCUCUCUCUCUCUCUCUCUCUCUCUCUCUCUCUCUCUCUCUCUCUCAUGAGUCUACAGCAGAGGCAGAUUUCCACCUGCAUCUCCUUGCAAGUCUUGAGGUGAGUAAAAUGGGAGUCCUUGUUCUCAUGGCUGUGAAGUUACUUACUUUCUCAAUCUUCAGGCCACUGUCAUCAGUCACUGGGACGAAACAUUCCCAUAGACUAGAGAGUGGCAUAAAUAUUCUCCAGCUCUCCACUGUGCAGCUCUAUCCCUAGCCUUUCUCCUCUUUAGUUUCUUCUUUUUGAAGAACUGAGAAUUUCCCACAUGCAUAAUGGACUGUGAUCAAACCCACCUCUGCUUUCCCUCCCUUCAAUCCCCCCUCUUCACAUUGUCACUGUCCUUCCCCCACAUUUAUAACUCUCCUCCUCUUCUUCUCUUCCCUCCCCCUUUCUCAUUUUCCCCCUCCUCCUCUUCUUUGUCAUUGUCAUUACUGUCUGU
This 1371-nucleotide long non-coding RNA is filed under the name Mus musculus (house mouse). RNAcentral describes it as "long non-coding RNA chr2:106409587-106410958". The record is from RNAcentral. Lineage: Eukaryota; Metazoa; Chordata; Mammalia; Rodentia; Muridae.